UUGGGCCAGAGAAGCCUCCUCAGCAAGUCUGGAGUACUUUGCCGCUGCCUGCUGAGAGGUGCUCAGCUUCUGCUUGAGCUACAAGAGGGACAGGAGCAACUGUGUCAGAAAGCCCUGAGGUGCCUGCAAUCUAAAUACCGGUAUUCAACAGAAGCAAAACAGAGUUAAACAGUAAGGCAAGGGGGUGUGCCCAAAAGGAGUUCAUGUAUAUAGUGACCACCUCAGUGUGAGCUCAAGAAAGAGGCUUUUCUAAAAGGGAAGAUGCAGUGGCUUCUCUGUUCUGGAGAGAAUUCCAUUAAUAAUUUAGAAAACAAAGAUAUGACACUGCAAUCAGGAACCCAUCAAUGAGGCUGAAAAGAAGUUCUCCUUGCAGGCGGUUGAUAUGGGCAACAGAGCCUCCUUGGAUCACAGCACUGGUUGGACGAAUCUGGCAUACAGGCCUUCCUCCGCAAUACAGGUUGGCGUGAUCCCCCAGAGAAAUAGUAGAAAUGAAAGAAUUCCUGGUUGGCAGGAGCUGGGACAAGCGACGGGAG
Non-coding RNA from Pogona vitticeps (central bearded dragon), 533 nucleotides. Lineage: Eukaryota; Metazoa; Chordata; Lepidosauria; Squamata; Agamidae. The record is from RefSeq and is a predicted model, not a curated record.